AAGUCGUAACAAGGUCUCCGUUGGUGAACCAGCGGAGGGAUCAUUACCGAGUUAUUACUCCAAACCCAUUGUGAACCUUACCAAUUACCGCUGUUGCCUCGGCGGACGGCUGGGAGGGUUGCCCCUAGCGGGCGCCCGACCGACCCCCGCCGGCAGCACCAAACUCUUGAAUUUAUAGCGAAUCUACUUCUGAAUAACAAAUACAAACAAAUCAAAACUUUCAACAACGGAUCUCUUGGUUCUG
This 244-nucleotide unclassified non-coding RNA is filed under the name Pseudallescheria africana. RNAcentral's name for it is "Petriellopsis africana partial internal transcribed spacer region". The stretch from base 1 to 46 matches the Rfam family "Eukaryotic small subunit ribosomal RNA", at positions 1786 to 1831 of the family's 1831-position model. The record is from RNAcentral. Lineage: Eukaryota; Fungi; Ascomycota; Sordariomycetes; Microascales; Microascaceae.